RNAcentral lists this ribosomal RNA (305 nucleotides) under Glaucostegus sp. GP0053. RNAcentral describes it as "partial 16S ribosomal RNA". It matches the Rfam family "Bacterial large subunit ribosomal RNA", at positions 1851 to 2295 of the family's 2925-position model. Lineage: Eukaryota; Metazoa; Chordata; Chondrichthyes; Rhinopristiformes; Glaucostegidae. The record is from RNAcentral.
AGGUCCGCCUGCCCUGUGAUUUUUUUAACGGCCGCGGUAUCCUGACCGUGCGAAGGUAGCGUAAUCAUUUGUCUUUUAAUUGAAGACCUGUAUGAAAGGCAUCACGAGAGUUUAUCUGUCUCUAUUUUCUAAUCAAUGAAAUUGACUUUCUCGUGCAGAGACGAGAAUAACAACAUAGGACGAGAAGACCCUAUGGAGCUUUAAACACCUAAGUUAAUUAUUUUUCCCAUCUCCUCCACGGACAUAAAACAAUAUAAAUAAAUAUAACUUAACCUGUUUUCGGUUGGGGCAACCAAGGAGAAAAA